Homo sapiens (human) is the source of this 793-nucleotide long non-coding RNA. Ensembl annotates it as long intergenic non-protein coding RNA 2669. Lineage: Eukaryota; Metazoa; Chordata; Mammalia; Primates; Hominidae. The record is from Ensembl.
AUUGGUACAGGAUCGCAGAACAGCACAUUCAACGUUAUCGCCAAGGCAAAAUUCCAUUCAUGCUUCACAUGUCUUCUUCCAGCAAACACGUCUUUGAGUGCAUGUUAUUGCCACAGCUUUGGGACAGGGGCCAGGACAACAGGGAGACUUUUCAGGGCUGGGCAGGGAUCGCCCGUCAAGAGCAAGGGGCAGGGUUUUGAAUCAUGUCUUUUGUCUUCUGAAUCCCAAAUGACGGCUGUUUCCAGGAAAUUUCAGUUUCUUUUGUCAUUUUUUUUUUUUUAAAUCUUGGGGCACUCUUUUCUCAUGGGUACAUUCAGAGAAGAGGAAUGUUUGUUCACUGGUGAAGAGAACAUCCCGUGUACUAUCGUGUAGAAGUUGUAGUAGACGCUGUGGUCUUUCCAACAACAAACAAACUGCUGGGACAGGACCCAGGAGGUUCCGGAGGAUCAGGAGGUCCACCUGGGAGAAGAGCUGAUCGGCUAGUAGGAGAGCUGGAAAAGCAACAGACACCUACUUAGUCCCUUCCCUGGGGCCCGGCUCCAGUCUGAGCUGUCACGCCACAGCAAAGGCAUCACUUCAGGACAGCAAAGCCCCUGUCUCCCUCCCUUCCAGCUCCUCAGACUUCACCCUGGUAACACGUUUGUUUAAAAAACAUAUUUUUCCCCCUUGUAAAGAAUCUAGGAUACAAGGGGUCAGCCCAGCAGUUUAGGUAUCAAGAAGAAACUGCUCUCGGAGCUAAAGUAAGAAACAGUGCCUGUCUAUAGCGCAAAUAAAGAGUUGGAACAAGAUAAAA